CUUCGGGGGUACACGAGUGGCGAACGGGUGAGUAACACGUGAGUAACCUGCCCUUGACUUCGGAAUAAGCCCGAGAAAUCGGGUCUAAUACCGAAUGACCACCCUCGCGGACAUCUGCGAGGGUGCAAAGCUCCGGCGGUCAAGGAUGGACUCGCGGCCUAUCAGCUAGUUGGUGAGGUAACGGCUCACCAAGGCUUCGACGGGUAGCCGGCCUGAGAGGGCGACCGGCCACACUGGGACUGAGAUACGGCCCAGACUCCUACGGGAGGCAGCAGUGGGGAAUAUUGCACAAUGGGCGAAAGCCUGAUGCAGCAACGCCGCGUGCGGGAUGACGGCCUUCGGGUUGUAAACCGCUUUCAGUACCGACGAAGCGAAAGUGACGGUAGGUGCAGAAGAAGGACCGGCCAACUACGUGCCAGCAGCCGCGGUGAUACGUAGGGUCCGAGCGUUGUCCGGAAUUAUUGGGCGUAAAGGGCUUGUAGGCGGUCUGCCGCGUCGGGAGUGAAAACUCAGGGCUUAACUCUGAGCGUGCUUCCGAUACGGGCUGACUAGAGGAAUGCAGGGGAGAAUGGAAUACCUGGUGGAGCGGUGGAAUGCGCAGAUAUCAGGUGGAACACCAGUGGCGAAGGCGGUUCUCUGGGCAUUUCCUGACGCUGAGAAGCGAAAGCGUGGGGAGCAAACAGGCUUAGAUACCCUGGUAGUCCACGCC
Molecule: ribosomal RNA, 709 nt
Filed under: Microlunatus sp.
Lineage: Bacteria; Bacillati; Actinomycetota; Actinomycetes; Propionibacteriales; Propionibacteriaceae
Description: bacterial SSU rRNA
Rfam family: Bacterial small subunit ribosomal RNA
Source: RNAcentral